This 193-nucleotide microRNA precursor is filed under the name Oryza barthii. RNAcentral's name for it is "MIR812 microRNA precursor family". It matches the Rfam family "MIR812 microRNA precursor family". Lineage: Eukaryota; Viridiplantae; Streptophyta; Magnoliopsida; Poales; Poaceae. The record is from Rfam by way of RNAcentral.
AAAAAGGCAAACCCUGAGUUUCCGUGUCCAACUUUGAUGGUCCGUCUUAUAUGAAUUCUUUUUAUUAUUCGUAUUGUCAUUGUUGUUAGAUGAUAAAACAUGAUUAAUAUUUUAUGCGUGACUUGUCUUUUAAUUUUUUUCAAAUAAGACGGACGGUCAAACGUUGGGCACAGAAACCAGGGUUUAUCUUUUU